This 543-nucleotide ribosomal RNA is filed under the name uncultured bacterium. RNAcentral describes it as "partial 16S ribosomal RNA". It matches the Rfam family "Bacterial small subunit ribosomal RNA", at positions 355 to 887 of the family's 1533-position model. The record is from RNAcentral.
UGGGGAAUUUUGGACGAAUUGGGGGCAACCCGUGAUCCAGCAAUGCCGCGUGUGUGAAGAAGGCCUUCGGGUUGUAAAGCACUUUUGUCCGGAAAGAAAACGCCGUGGUUAAUACCCGUGGCGGAUGACGGUACCGGAAGAAUAAGCACCGGCUAACUACGUGCCAGCAGCCGCGGUAAUACGUAGGGUGCAAGCGUUAAUCGGAAUUACUGGGCGUAAAGCGUGCGCAGGCGGUCCGCUAAGACAGAUGUGAAAUCCCCGGGCUUAACCUGGGAACUACAUUUGUGACCGGCGGGCUAGAGUAUGGCAGAGGGGGGUAGAAUUCCACGUGUAGCAGUGAAAUGCGUAGAGAUGUGGAGGAAUACCGAUGGCGAAGGCAGCCCCCUGGGCCAAUACUGACGCUCAUGCACGAAAGCGUGGGGAGCAAAACAGGAUUAGAUACCCUGGUAGUCCACGCCCUAAACGAUGUCAACUAGUUGUUGGGGAUUCAUUUCCUUAGUAACGUAGCUAACGCGUGAAGUUGACCGCCUGGGGAGUACGGCC